Molecule: ribosomal RNA, 301 nt
Filed under: uncultured bacterium
Lineage: Bacteria
Description: partial 16S ribosomal RNA
Rfam family: Bacterial small subunit ribosomal RNA
Source: RNAcentral
CAGUCGCCGCGGUAACACGUAGGUGGCAAGCGUUGUCCGGAAUUAUUGGGCGUAAAGGGCUCGCAGGCGGUUUCUUAAGUCUGAUGUGAAAGCCCCCGGCUCAACCGGGGAGGGUCAUUGGAAACUGGGAAACUUGAGUGCAGAAGAGGAGAGUGGAAUUCCACGUGUAGCGGUGAAAUGCGUAGAGAUGUGGAGGAACACCGAUGGCGAAAGCGGCUCUCUGGUCUGUCACUGACGCUGAGGCUCGAAAGCGUGGGUAGCGAACAGGAUUAGAUACCCCUGUAGUCCCUGUCUCUUAUAC